GCCUUACAGUUCAGAUUUUUAUUAAAUUUUACACAUUUUUUGCUUGCAAUACUCGAAAUUUUUCAAAAUUCGAAAAUACGCCGUAUAUUUUGGUCAGAGGGCAAACCUCUGCGUUGCGUCACCAUGUUUAAAUUUUCCAUCGAGCCUUAGAUUGCGCUGCUUUGCCGACAAAUGCAAAAGGAAGAUGGAACCCAAGAAGUUCCAGCUGGACCGCGGACCCUACCUCUCCCAGCUGGACUACCAAUCUCGCCUUCAGUUCCAAGCACCAUCUUGGAGGUUACCCCUCACCAGCAUUAUAUGCACCAGUGGACCCUCAUCCAACCAGCCCGAGGUUCUCCUUGAACUUAUUCGUGCUGGGAUGAGGGUGGUCCGACUGGACAUGUCCCAAGGCAGCCACAAUUGCCACUGCCAGGCAAUCCAGGCGGCUCGUAAGGCCAUCUCCAUUUAUGUGAAGGAAACGGGUCUUCCCAGGAGCUUGGCCAUCGCCCUUGACACCAAGGGCCCGGAAAUCCAUCCACAAGGCAUACCGGAUGAUACACCUGCCGUAAGCGAGCAAGACAAGCUGGACCUCGAGUUUGGCGUGGAUCUCAAGGUAGACAUGAUCUUUGCGUCGCUCAUUCGCGAUGCCAGAGCUCCAAGGGAAAUUCGCCAAGCACUGGGUCCAUCAAGUGAGCACAUAGGGAUCAUUUCCAAAAUCGAGAGCCGAGAGGGUCUGGCGAACAUAGAUGAGAUAAUCCGCGAAUCCGAUGGCAUAAUGGUGGCCCUUGGCAAUUUGGGCAGCAAAAUACCAUUGGAGGCUGUGCCGCUGGCGCAGAAAUCGAUCGUGGCCAAGUGCAACAAAGUGGGGAAACCUGUGAUCUGUGCCAACCAACUGAUGAGUUCGAUGAUAACCAAGCUACGUCCCACUCGCGCCGAGUCCUCUGAUGUGGCAAACGCGAUCUUUGAUGGUUGUGAUGCCCUCGUGUUUUCCGAUGAAACGGCCAAGGGUAAGUACCCGGUGCAAUGUGUGCAGUGCAUGGCCAGAAUCUGCCAGAAAGUCGAGUCGAUUUUAUGGUAUGAGAGCCUUCAGAACAACCUCAGAAGAGAAGUCCGGAUGAAGGCUGCCAAUCACAUCUCGGCGAUAACCACGGCAAUUGCAGAGGCGGCUACGGUGGGUCAGGCUCAGGCCAUAGUGGUGGCCAGUCCGUGCUCCAUUGUGCCCCAGAUGAUCAGUCAUAUGAGGCCGCCGUGUCCCAUUGUGAUGCUCACCGGCUGCCAACAUAGGGCCGCUCAAUCCUCGCUCUCUCGGGGCGUUUUCCCACUCCUCGUCAGGGAAAUGGUUUACGGCAGCCUAAACUACUGUCGCAUCAUGCAAUCGGGCCUAAAGAUGCUGGCCAAGAUGGACAUCCUGGAGGCAGGCCAAAAGGGAACGGUGGUGCUGGUCAACGCCAUGUCGGCAGACAUGCUCACCUUCCGGCUGUUCACUUUUGUACAGCCAACUGAGGCAGAGCGAGAGGAAGAACGCUGUCGAAAAUUGGCCAGAAAGCAGCGUUGCAAGGAAAUGAAAAUGGCUUUAAGUAAAUCCUGUUCAGAUCUAAAAAGCAGUAAGUCUGAAAUAUCUAUGAAGCCCAAAGAAAAGGGAGAAUGUUUAACGCACGAAGAAGCCUCGAAAUUUGCACAGCUGGAAAAGCAGAGUGAGCAGAAGCGAAACGAAGAAGGGAAUAAUAUCUGUUCAACAAAAGAAUUUUCCAAAAAGGACAACGACACCUUGAAAUGCUUAAAGCUGAAGAAUGAAAAUCAAGCUCAAGCGGAAUCCGAUAUGAAAUCGAUGGAUGAACUCAAAAAAGCGGAAGAAAUGGCUUCAAGUAAAGCGUGUUCAAAUCUAAAGAGCAGUAAGCCUGAAAGAUCUAUAAAGCCCAAAGAAAAGAAAGAAUGUCCUAUUGUAGAAAGAGCGUCGAAAUGUUUAAGGCUGACAAAACAGAGUAAGCUGAAAAAUUGCGAGGAUUUGGCUAUAACCAAAGAAAAGGAAUAUAUCUGUUCAACUAAAGAAGGUCCAAAAAAUAACAACUUGACCGUAAAAUCUUUCCAAAUGAAGACAGAAACACAAGCUCAAUUCGAAGCUGAGAUGAAUCGAAGGGAAGAACCCAAAAAAGCGGAAGAUUGUCGCAAAAAAAGUAAUGAGGUUAGGGAUAGUGUUGUGCCUAAGAAAGCGGGCGAUUAUGCCUCGAAGUGCAAUAAUCGGAAAAAGGAAAGUCUGAAGAAGGAUAAGUGCAGAGUAAUUAAAAUUCCAAGGAAAUCCCAAGAAAAGGAUAAUUAUAGCCAAAAGAAAGGAAUUCCUAGGGAAUACAGUAAAACAAUCAAUCUAGAAAAGGACCAACUUUUACACGCAGAAUCUGCAAAGAAACACUCUGAUGAGUUGGAAAAGUCCUGGGAUAUAAAACUGGAAAACUGCAAGACGAUAAAACUUGAAAACUGCAUGGCAGUGAAACUCGAAAACUGCAAAACAACAAAUCUUGAAAACUGCAAAGCGAUCAAGCUCGAAAACUGCAAACAGCCGAGCAGACGAAGGAAAACCACAGAUCGUACUAAAAAAGUGUGAAGGUGUAUGAUGCAGGUCUGGAAACCUCUAUAAAAACCAUUAAACUAACCGGAUUCAAUUCAGUUUGCGAACGUUAGCUGACCGAGAAGUAUUCAACGGUUUCCAUAAGAUGUCGUACAAGGUUGAAG
Molecule: RNA transcript, 2706 nt
Organism: Drosophila santomea
Lineage: Eukaryota; Metazoa; Arthropoda; Insecta; Diptera; Drosophilidae
Exons: 4
Source: RefSeq, a predicted model, not a curated record